Equus caballus (horse) is the source of this 880-nucleotide non-coding RNA. NCBI's taxonomy places the organism in Eukaryota, Metazoa, Chordata, Mammalia, Perissodactyla, Equidae. The record is from RefSeq and is a predicted model, not a curated record.
UGCGUCCCGCUGAUGCUCCAGCGCGCGCUCCUCCCCCGGCGCUGGGGUCGGGGGCGGGUUUCGGGUUAGGGCCGGACCCACAGCUGGCGUCGGGGGCGCUUGGGGAAAACAGUCUGAUCCUCUGUUUCCCUUCCCGAGCUGGCGCGCCCUGGCAUCCCCUCGCUUAAAAGGCCGUGGGCCCGAGGUGGGUGAGGUCUCCGUCAUGCGGGAACAUGUGCGGGGCGGAGAAGGGUGGUUCACCCACGUUCCAGGACAGGAGAGAGAUCUCUAUGAAAGAGAAACUUUUUGUCCCCUAAAUCCUUGCCUCCCAGCAUCUCUGGGUACCAGGUCCCACCCUCUCAAAAUGCUCCCAGCGGGAAGUCACCGCGUCUGGGCGGGUUUCGAUGCGCCAUCUUGGUUUGUAAACCGCAGUGUGCCUCAUUUGGGAAGCCUCUGGUCCAAGGUGAAAUGAAUGUUUGGGUCUGAUGCUGAUUUUCGCUAGGAUCACCCAGAUACUUAAGAUAAAAUCCUGCUGGCGGGGAGGGAGCGGUCUCCAGUGAGGAGGAUGUGCGGCAAAUGGGGGCUCCAGAUGCCUGAGAAGAUGGAAAGAAGGAAUGAAUCAGCCAUCCCAGAAGCCUUUAUUUUCCCACACGGCUGCUUUUCCAGAGGCGCACUCUCUAAGUUCUGGAACAGGCUGGGGCCACAGCGCCCGGGGUGGGGAGCCUGUGCAGUUGCUGCCCUCCUGGCUGGGUCCGAGCUCUCUGCCCAGCCUCCCCGGCACAGACUGUGGGUGCCCCUCAGAGGGGUUGGGGAGGGUACAGGUAUGGGGAGCCCCCUCCCGGAGCUGGAAGGAGGGAGGCGCUCAAUAAGGCCCUGCGGGAACAUGAAGAAAAUGAGCCUC